ACUUAAAUAGCUCAACCUAGAGCAUCACUUUGAAGUUGUGGGGGUAGUCUAAUGACUUUUGGGUA
RNAcentral lists this transfer RNA (65 nucleotides) under Cryptopygus antarcticus travei. RNAcentral's name for it is "tRNA-Phe". Lineage: Eukaryota; Metazoa; Arthropoda; Collembola; Entomobryomorpha; Isotomidae. The record is from RNAcentral.